Oryzias melastigma (Indian medaka) is the source of this 1825-nucleotide long non-coding RNA. RefSeq lists it as uncharacterized. The transcript has 3 exons. The record is from RefSeq and is a predicted model, not a curated record. Lineage: Eukaryota; Metazoa; Chordata; Actinopteri; Beloniformes; Adrianichthyidae.
ACUGGCAUUUGCUCAAGAACACCAGAAUUGGCAAGUCCACCACUGGCGCCCUGUACUUUUCACAGACGAGAGCAGGUUCACCCUGAGCACCUGUGAUAGACGUGAAAGAGUCUGGAGAAGAUGAGGAGGACGUUAUGCUGUCUGCAGCGUGGUUCAACAUGACAGGUUUGGUGGUGGGUCAGUGAUGGUCUGGGGAGGCAUAUCCAUGGAGGGACGCACAGACCUCUACUGAGGAACACAGUUUUUUUUAAGAACUGAACUGUGUCCUGUAAAGAAAGAACAAAAAAAAAGGAAUGAUUAGGCUACUGGUCCAAACAAAAAUAUCAAAACAAAGGGAAAUGGAGCCUUGGCCAAACAUAACAUAACUCAGGGAGUCUGCUUACCCAGCCACCUUGACCGUCGGAGUCAGCAACUCCCUGUUAAGGCUGCCUAACAGAAAUCUACCUAUUCAAAAGAAACAAAGCAAGCCCCCAAAUAAAGUCUGCCAAGGCCCAUCCCCAAAACUAACAUAAAAAACCCAGCAGUGUAAGACUGCCGAGGAAACAAAGAAGAAAAAGAGAACCAAACAAACCAGCACCACUUUAACAUAAAGACCUCCUGCUCUGCUCCGCUCCGCUCCCUGCCUUGCGAGCCACGACUUCCCAUUGAUUUUCUUCUAGAAAGGAUCGAUGAUCAUCAUGGUGGUGGUGGUGGGGGAGUUCAAGAGUGGAUUCAAGAACAUCAGGCUCAGCUGCAGGUUGCUUAUCAGGGAGCCCAGGAGCGCCUGAAAGCUUCUGCAUCCAGAAGGAAGCAUAACCAUGACCAGAAUGCCAAAGACUCCCCACUGACAGAAGGUCAGCAAGUUUUGGUCAGAGAUUUUUAGUGCCAGAGGCCGCCACAAAAUUCAGGAUUUAUGGAGUUCUGUGAUCCACAAAGUCUUGAAAGCACCAGGUGCCGGUGGGUCGGUGUACCCAAUUGCUCCGGUGGGGAAUUGACGUAGACUUGGUUAUUCUCAGAGAGCAUCAUCAAGCAGCCACUCCUGAACCACCUGUUUUCCCAUCAGAAGGGGCCUCUGGGAUUUCUCCUCCGGCAUCACCUCUGUCGCCCAACGGGAUUGUUGAUGUGUCUGGAACUGCCCCUCAGAGUAGCUUUCCUGAUCAGUCAGUGCCACCCGUUGCAUCACCCAUCCGUUUGGCUGCACCAGAACAAGGGGUUCGUAGAUUAAACCGGUCCACUGCGGGCCAACAUCAGAAUCCUCAUCACAUUCCAAGAUGCUCUCUUGUGCGCACGUUGCUUCCCUCCCCGCAAUAGGGGAGUAAGUGCUGCUGCUUUGCCGCUGUUUUUAUUUCCUGGUUCCGGUUCGGAUCUCCCCUCUUCUCACGCCGCGUCUGGACGGAGUUACAGUCUAUGAGUUGGACGGACACUUGCAGCGACGGUGGAGACCGUGUGUGCAUUGGCAUCUGGCUGGACUUUGGACUGUCCUCCUGACACCUGUUGUUCAGCGUUAGCCGUCUGGCGGCUUACCUGGCGGCUUGAUGUGAAAUCAUCUUUUAAGAGUGUUUUAAUUGUGUGGUUUUUUUAAAUUGUUUUAUCACUUGUGUUCAAGGAGGUUGGAGCUCGAGGUGGACGGCUGCACUGGUGGCGGGUUCCUGUGUGCUGUGUGACCUUCUAUCACGUGUGCAGUGCAUCACACUCCUGGGUGUUUGCUUUUGUUUAGUUUUCUUUUUUGCUUUAGUUCUAGCCAUCUCGGUAAGCUCCUCCUCCUGAACAUUUUAUUGGUUUAAAUUAAAGUAUUUCUAUUAUUGCUUUUAGAUUGGAUCAUAAUAAAUUGUAUUUUAAAAACAGA